CCGCCCUCUUCCUCUGUGGUCCAGGAAGGCCAGGAAUUGGGGAGCCCCUGGGCCUGCUGGCUGCAUGGUGCUUGGGCUGAGCUUUCUCGGGCUUCCCUUGCUUUUGAGGCCCAUGUACCAAGAAGACAGUCUCACCACCAUCCUAUAGUUCUGACUUGGGGUCCCCAGACCCCCUGAGAACUCCCUAGGAAUACGGAUGUCCGUGCAGACCCGUUGAAGCAGAAAGCCGGGGAAGUGGACCCAGCAAUGUCUGAACAAGUCCUUGCAGAGGCUCUGCUCCCUAAGUUCCUGGGUUCUCCACUCUGCCUGCUUUUUAGACGUGCAUGGGGUUAAAGAGCAGUGUCUAGAGCACAGCUUCAUGCAUCUGUUGCCAGAACUUUCCACAAAACCCUGCUGUUUGCACUGUAUCACCUCCAGGUAUCUCCUCGCGCACUAACUUAUGACCUAAUGAGGUCAUUAUCUACCUGAGUGCUUGCUCUUCCUCUCAUUCAUGCCUGGGCACAGGAGAAUCCUACCGCAGCCGCUGAAGCAUGCUGGAAAACCUGUCAGACUCAGAGAUUUCUCUUACACAAAAAAGCCCUGGGAUGUGAUUGGCUUAUGUGCGCCAGUGUGGGGAAGAAGAGCAAAUCUUGCGUAUUUGGGUACUGUGUCUGAAGACUCCUCUCCCAUUGUGCUGGGGAGCAGAACAGUGGAAAGAGGGCCAAGCGGGUCACGAAGCAGCAAAAGGUUUUCUGAGACUGGAAGCCAGAGCUGCUAGUCACCUGCCCAUUGUCUUGGUCUGUGGAAACAGAGCUUUCAAGCCUGAUGAGAAAGCAGUGUGCCUGGCCUGUACUUGGCAUGCAAACUAAGAGGUAAAGAGGCAGACAUGAGCCGGGAGGACCAAAGGCCAACAGAAAGUGAGAAACCAGGAACCAUGUUUCCCAGAUCAAAGAGAGAAAAGGAAAGGACCUAUUAGAAAAUGUGAAUGUCACAGUGUUUCGGCUUUCCAUGCCUGAAAUACUCUCAUGGGCUUUUUAGCCAGAUCCAAAUGCCUUAAUGGCUGAUUCUGAGGCCAGAGUGCUAUUUAGGACAUCUGCCAUUCUAUGAGUCUGCUGUGUAUCCCGCUUCCCAUGUUGGAUCUCUCCUUUUUAAUUUUAUCAGUUAGUAUUAGCAGACGUUAGUCUUGUUUAUGUGAUCCCUUUGACUCUUAAUCCUAUCAUUAUGAUCAAUUAUGAACUGAAACUGAUCACUUUGACUAGUGAGAUGGCAUUGGUACAUGCCACCUUGAUGGGAUUGAAUUGGAAUCUCCAGGCAUGUUUCUAACUCUACCGUUUGGGGCAAGUCUGAUUGAGCAUGUGCCAAACUGUACAUCUCCUCCUUCUCUUAUCUCCACUCUUAUAUUUAACAGGGAUAAAUUUUCAGUUAAAUUUAAACACCUAAGAAUAAUUGUGUGUUAAUUAAAGAGUUCAACCAAUAGUAUUUAAAAAAAAAAAAAAGACCUACAUGAAAGAUCUCUGUGAGUGAGAUCCCAGCAGAAAGAAUGGGCCAUCAAAGAAGGAGGUACCUUUUUCUGAAGGGAGGAGAGAACUUCCACUUUGAUUAUGGCCUUGUCUAAAUAAGAUCGGAGUUUGUGAACUCAAAAGGCUUCCAUAGCCUUGGCAACUCAUGACAAGAGCCUAGGGUGAUUACUGAUGCCAUAAACAAGAGUGUCAAUUGUUAAAUCAACAACAGGAGUCACUGUGCACUUACUCCCCAUGCAGGAUCUCUGUCCUGAAUGUGUUGUACUAUGUGAAUCAAUACUAUAACUAGUACUCAGACAGUAUUUUACACUUUGUGUUUCUGUGUGGAUGCAAACUGAUGAAAUCUUUACUUAAUAUAUACUAAAUUGAUCUUCUAUAUAUAAAGAUAAUUGAAAAUGAAUCUUGAUGUGAAUGGAAUGGGAAAGGGAGUGGGAGAUGGGAAGGUUGUGGGUGGGAGGGAAGUUAUGGGGGCGAAAAAGUCACUGUAACCCAAAAGCUGUACUUUGGAAAUUUAUAUUUAUUAAAUAAAAGUUUUUUAAAAAAAUGUGAAUGUCCCA
Molecule: long non-coding RNA, 2056 nt
Organism: Oryctolagus cuniculus (rabbit)
Lineage: Eukaryota; Metazoa; Chordata; Mammalia; Lagomorpha; Leporidae
Source: Ensembl